RNAcentral lists this long non-coding RNA (556 nucleotides) under Salvia miltiorrhiza (redroot sage). RNAcentral describes it as "long non-coding RNA (SMIL_LNC011017)". Lineage: Eukaryota; Viridiplantae; Streptophyta; Magnoliopsida; Lamiales; Lamiaceae. The record is from RNAcentral.
GAUUUAUGCUUAAUUGUUCUAAUUUUAGGGGUUUGCAUGUGCAUAUUUUAAAUUAAAUCUUCUGGAAAUUGGUGCGUUUUAUGGUUUGUUUGAUGCUUUGCAGGAGAUUUAGGUUUAUGGAUGGAAGAAUGCAAUUUUGGAGAUUUUUGGGCUAAAAAUGGUGUUUUUAGCAGACAUCGACAUAGCAGAGCUAAGUGCCAGAGUCAACUCAUAACUGCCAGCGCUGACCAUUUUCAACUCAACUCAUAACUGCCAGCGCUGACCAUUUUCAGCUCCGCCCAUUCUUGCCAGCGCUGACCAUUUUCAGCUCCACCCAUUCUUGCCAACGCUGGCCAUUUUCAGCUCCGCCCAUAAUUGCCAGCGCUGACUACUUUCCAGCUCCACCUAUUUCGCCAACGCUGACUACCUUUCCCAAGCAUAAUCAUAGGAGUUCACUUUCCAUAGCUAUGUUUAUUCUUUCCAGCUCCGCAUAUUCUUGCCAGCACCAUUACUUUCCAGCUAUGUUUAUUCUUGCCAGCACCGAUUACUUUCUAGCUAUGCUUAUUCUCACCAGAGC